This 107-nucleotide microRNA precursor is filed under the name Canis lupus dingo (dingo). Its description in RNAcentral is "mir-8834 microRNA precursor family". It matches the Rfam family "mir-8834 microRNA precursor family". The record is from Rfam by way of RNAcentral. Lineage: Eukaryota; Metazoa; Chordata; Mammalia; Carnivora; Canidae.
AGGAGGAAUAACCACAUGGCAGCGGCCAGCUCUGGAGCCCUGGAUUCAGCUCCCGCAGUAGCUAUGGAGCUCUCAGUCUGCAGGGGCCUGUAAUGCUCCGGGGGUGG